Molecule: ribosomal RNA, 331 nt
Filed under: Escherichia coli
Lineage: Bacteria; Pseudomonadati; Pseudomonadota; Gammaproteobacteria; Enterobacterales; Enterobacteriaceae
Description: partial 23S ribosomal RNA
Rfam family: Bacterial large subunit ribosomal RNA
Source: RNAcentral
GCUAUUUAGGUAGCGCCUCGUGAAUUCAUCUCCGGGGGUAGAGCACUGUUUCGGCAAGGGGGUCAUCCCGACUUACCAACCCGAUGCAAACUGCGAAUACCGGAGAAUGUUAUCACGGGAGACACACGGCGGGUGCUAACGUCCGUCGUGAAGAGGGAAACAACCCAGACCGCCAGCUAAGGUCCCAAAGUCAUGGUUAAGUGGGAAACGAUGUGGGAAGGCCCAGACAGCCAGGAUGUUGGCUUAGAAGCAGCCAUCAUUUAAAGAAAGCGUAAUAGCUCACUGGUCGAGUCGGCCUGCGCGGAAGAUGUAACGGGGCUAAACCAUGCAC